This 251-nucleotide ribosomal RNA is filed under the name uncultured bacterium. RNAcentral describes it as "partial 16S ribosomal RNA". It matches the Rfam family "Bacterial small subunit ribosomal RNA", at positions 524 to 776 of the family's 1533-position model. The record is from RNAcentral.
UACGUAGGGCGCAAGCGUUAUCCGGAAUUAUUGGGCGUAAAGAGCUCGUAGGCGGUUUGUCGCGUCUGCCGUGAAAGUCCGGGCUCAACUCCGGAUCUGCGGUGGUACGGGCAGACUAGAGUGAUGUAGGGGAGACUGGAAUUCCUGGUGUAGCGGUGAAAUGCGCAGAUAUCAGGAGGAACACCGAUGGCGAAGGCAGGUCUCUGGGCAUUAACUGACGCUGAGGAGCGAAAGCAUGGGGAGCGAACAGG